UGGGGAAUAUUGGACAAUGGGCGCAAGCCUGAUCCAGCCAUGCCGCGUGAGUGAUGAAGGCCCUAGGGUUGUAAAGCUCUUUCACCGGUGAAGAUAAUGACGGUAACCGGAGAAGAAGCCCCGGCUAACUUCGUGCCAGCAGCCGCGGUAAUACGAAGGGGGCUAGCGUUGUUCGGAUUUACUGUGCGUAAAGCGCACGUAGGCGGACUAUAAAGUCAGGGGUGAAAUCCCGGGGCUCAACCCCGGAACUGCCUUUGAUACUGGUAGUCUUGAGUUCGAGAGAGGUGAAUGGAAUUCCGAGUGUAGAGGUGAAAUUCGUAGAUAUUCGGAGGAACACCAGUGGCGAAGGCGGCUCACUGGCUCGAUACUGACGCUAAGGUGCGAAAGCGUGGGGAGCAAACAGG
RNAcentral lists this ribosomal RNA (404 nucleotides) under Actinomycetes bacterium. Its description in RNAcentral is "Actinobacteria bacterium partial 16S ribosomal RNA". It matches the Rfam family "Bacterial small subunit ribosomal RNA", at positions 355 to 776 of the family's 1533-position model. Lineage: Bacteria; Bacillati; Actinomycetota; Actinomycetes. The record is from RNAcentral.